GUUUUAUUUUGUUUUGUUUGUAUUUUUUUUAUUUUUACAUUAUUCCAAAGUAAUUAUUAUUAUGACAAAAAGUAAUUAUUCAUAAAAUGAAAAGUAAUGUUUUUGAAGCGUUACUUUUCAUUAUUUCAAUAAUUACUUUUUCUUAUAACAAUGAUUACAUGAAUAAUUAUUUGAUUAUUUUUCUGUAUUUUAUUUAUUUCUACGUUAUUUAAUAAGUAUAAAAUAUAC
Molecule: long non-coding RNA, 228 nt
Filed under: Salvia miltiorrhiza (redroot sage)
Lineage: Eukaryota; Viridiplantae; Streptophyta; Magnoliopsida; Lamiales; Lamiaceae
Description: long non-coding RNA (SMIL_LNC002583)
Source: RNAcentral